CUGUACUUUGAGAUCCCCUUGCCUUGUUGUGUAAACAGUUUGUACACCUGAACCAAUGGUGUGUUCUAGUUCAGUGGCCACAGCGUGGAAGAGACAUGACUGCAAGAGAGAGCAGGGGAAAGUCCCGAACUCCAAGGAACAUUCUGUUUAAAAACAACAAUCCUGAUUCCCCCAGGUGAUGUCAAGAGAAACCUUCAGAAAAAUGAUAGAGGGAGUCCAGAAGGCCACGACUUCUGCUUGGGGGUUGUUACUGAGGUCGUCAUCUUACCUGCUCUUCUUGUUGAGAUGUGCCCUGUUCUGAGGGAAUGGCCUGAUCCUGAUUUGGCUACAUAGACUUGGCUUCUCAGAGGUGCUGGGCGUCCACACGGUGCAGCCUGGUGCCAGCACACGAGAACUUUGCAGGAGCCCUGGGAUGGGCAUCUCCCUCUGUCUACACGGCCGGUCUGAGCUCCGGGCUGGGAUCUAACUACUUUCCUGCCACUGGCAUUUCCUUCCCAUGACAUGGCCUCUACUCUGGGGAAAAGGAUCUAUGAUUUCCAAAGCAAUUUUAUUUUUGGCUUCUGGUGCUGCACCUGACACGUGAGAGUGGUAUUAGAUGGGGGACCACACUUGUUCACCAGGAUGGAGCCUCCUGUUUCAUUUCACACCCCCUUCACACAGCCUCCUGCAACUGCUGAUUGUAUCUGGCCGGUACCCACAGGGCUGGAUUCUGGCCAAAGGGAGGAGACGCCCAGCACCAAGACCCCGAGGCAUCCUUUACUAUCCCUUUCUCAAACCCCAGAGCCACGCCAUUCCCAUGUCAUAAAACUUCUGAAGCGGGCACUGAAGCCAAGAGGGGCGGCGCUGACUCAAGCCGAGCCCUCGCCCUCCCCGGCUCCUCAGCCACAGGCUGGGCCAACAUCUCAAAGCAGCUCAAGAUGGUCCCAAGAGCGGCGAAGGCCUCCCAGGGCUCCACCGGGUGCCAGGCCAGAGGAAAGCGGGACAGGGGCGGGGGCCAAGGGCUGGAGACCCCACGGUGUUUCAUGGCACAGCGACACCAGCUCAGAGGCAGAUGGCCGUGGAGGAGCAGCCUGUGACAGAGAGAGGGUGCGGGCUCUGUGAGUCACGCCGGCAGGUGUGUUAUUAUCGAAGUGAUGUAGGGGUCUGGAAUGUGACUUAGAAGGCAGUAAGGAGACAUUAUCCAUAAACACAUUAACUGCUUCAAGUAAACGGCACUAAAAAGUGAAGGCAGCCCCAUUCUUGUGAAAUCUCUGCUCUCAGGCCAUGAAUGAGCAAAUAUAAGUGGUGCGUAAGCAGAGUAAGUGACACGGGCAGGCUGCCAUUUCUUUCUAGAGGAAGCCAGACGUUUGUUCCUUACUCUCUGCACUGCUCCCCGGCCCUGUCCCCCGACAUGAUUCCCAUGACCAUUUGAAACAGCCUUUCUGUACGUGAUAUCCUGUUAGUUCUUAAGAAAAUCUGACUCUUUCUUGCCAUCCUGACCCAGGAAGUAAAGCCUUCCCCUUUCUUGAAGUAUUACUAUUUGACUUCACGCUAGAGGGCAAGAGAGCUGUCACACUAGAAGGCAAGGGGUCCCCUAUUUGUUCCUGUCUUUCAGGCUCACAAAGGAUGUGUUUACAACCCACUGUGCACGUGCACAGAGCUCCUCCAGCUGGGGCCCUGGACAGUGAUCAAUGGCGGUCACUUCCAGCCUUCCAAUUGCUGACUGUAAUCCGAGACGCAGAAUGACCGUCUUCCAGGCUCGCUUCCACCAGCAACGUAGCUGCCGACGCCCCAGACCAGGCUCUUCUGAGCUCCAUGAGCCUGUCUCCAUCUGCCAACCCAGCAGCCUCACCUGAGUGCCCCUCAGGCAUCUCAGGGAGCAUUUUAUCAUCACCAAGAUCACCUCGGCAAAGACAGACUCAGGGGGCAGCCCUGACCAACGAGACCCAUAAGUCGAUGGUGACCUGUUCCAAUUUCCACAUCGUGUGUGUUCCACCUUCUGCUUCCCUGUCUGGGGAAUUAGGAUAGUUUACAAUUUGAAACUUGCUUCACCUUGUUUCCACUUGACUUUUUCCUUUUAAUAGUAUUAUUAUCAUCAGUAAUAAUACUAAUAGUACCUAUAUUUGCCCAUACUCGUGACUUUUUCAGUCCCUCUAGAUGUUGCAUAUUAUUUCAUUAUUAUUGUUUCAUGAUAACUUUAUAGGCAGUUGGUUUAUUUUGAGCAAAUUCAGUAUGCUAUUAAAGAGUAUCAAUACCCAUCUUUAGGUUGUAAUUUACUCAGUCUUCAUACAAAAGACAUUAGAUGCUGUCUUCAUACAUUAGCUCAAACUUUGGCUGAUGUCUGAUAUAAGAGAUUAGUUUUUCCCAGACAUAACUUUUUGCUUAACUAAAGGCUUUUUUCCUGAUUGGGAGAAAGGAGGAAAAAACUGACAUUUAUUGAAGCCUGAUAUAUAGCAGGCACCUUUUCAUAGCUGAUCUCACAGAGUUGUCCACUGGUCCUAAGAGACAGCUCUUAGUCCGUAUUAUAGACAGGAACGUGGGAAUAUUGCCCAAGGUCGCAGAGCUAAUAUGUGGCAGAUCCAGAAUUCAAAGUCUGGCUCAAAACAUUCCCAAAACGAGCCUGAAUUUCUGAUGUUAAAUGCAAGACUCUUAGAAUCUCAAAGCUAUAAGUAAGUAUUCAGCACUGAUAAGACUAAAUAAAUCAUAUGAAACCUAGUCAUAAAGACAGAGUCCAUAGGUCAGAAAUAAUCUUGUAAAAAAAAACCUGCACAGAAAAUUCAACUUGUAAACUUAAUUACUUGGUAGGGACACUUGAUUUUCAAUUACAUCACCUAAAGGAUAAC
RNAcentral lists this long non-coding RNA (2822 nucleotides) under Equus caballus (horse). RNAcentral describes it as "lncRNA (ENSECAG00000047054.1)". Lineage: Eukaryota; Metazoa; Chordata; Mammalia; Perissodactyla; Equidae. The record is from RNAcentral.